Molecule: ribosomal RNA, 443 nt
Filed under: uncultured bacterium
Lineage: Bacteria
Description: partial 16S ribosomal RNA
Rfam family: Bacterial small subunit ribosomal RNA
Source: RNAcentral
CCUACGGGAGGCAGCAGUGGGGAAUAUUGGGCAAUGGGCGCAAGCCUGACCCAGCAACGCCGCGUGAAGGAAGAAGGCUUUCGGGUUGUAAACUUCUUUUCUCAGGGACGAAGCAAGUGACGGUACCUGAGGAAUACGCCACGUCUAACUACGUGCCAGCAGCCGCGGUAAUACGUAGGUGGCAAGCGUUAUCCGGAUUUACUGGGUGUAAAGGGCGUGUAGGCGGGAAAGCAAGUCAGAUGUGAAAACCAUGGGCUCAACCUGUGGCCUGCAUUUGAAACUGUUUGUCGUGAGUACUGGAGAGGCAGACGGAAUUCCUAGUGUAGCGGUGAAAUGCGUAGAGAUUAGGAGGAACACCAGUGGCGAAGGCGGUCUGCUGGACAGCGACUGACGCUGAGGCGCGAAAGCGUGGGUAGCAAACAGGAUUAGAUACCCUUGUAGUC